AACGAACGCUGGCGGCAUGCCUAACACAUGCAAGUCGAACGAACCCUUCGGGGUUAGUGGCGCACGGGUGCGUAACGCGUGGGGAUCUGCCCUUUGCUUCGGAAUAACAGUUAGAAAUGACUGCUAAUACCGGAUGAUGUCGAAAGACCAAAGAUUUAUCGGCAAAGGAUGAACCCGCGUAGGAUUAGCUAGUUGGUGGGGUAAAGGCCUACCAAGGCGACGAUCCUUAGCUGGUCUGAGAGGAUGAUCAGCCACACUGGGACUGAGACACGGCCCAGACUCCUACGGGAGGCAGCAGUGGGGAAUAUUGGACAAUGGGCGAAAGCCUGAUCCAGCAAUGCCGCGUGAGUGAUGAAGGCCUUAGGGUUGUAAAGCUCCUUUACCAGGGAUGAUAAUGACAGUACCUGGAGAAUAAGCUCCGGCUAACUCCGUGCCAGCAGCCGCAGUAA
RNAcentral lists this ribosomal RNA (449 nucleotides) under uncultured bacterium. RNAcentral's name for it is "partial 16S ribosomal RNA". It matches the Rfam family "Bacterial small subunit ribosomal RNA", at positions 29 to 523 of the family's 1533-position model. The record is from RNAcentral.